This is a long non-coding RNA of Hirundo rustica (Barn swallow), 1828 nucleotides long. RefSeq lists it as uncharacterized. NCBI's taxonomy places the organism in Eukaryota, Metazoa, Chordata, Aves, Passeriformes, Hirundinidae. The record is from RefSeq and is a predicted model, not a curated record. The transcript has 2 exons.
UUGAAGAGGAGGGAAUAAGAGGAUCACGAGGAAGACUGAUCCUGAGGAGAUAGAAUUAUUGCUGUGAGGUUAGUCUGGGUCUGCAUUUAAGGCCUGUUGUUGGAGCCUGCAGCCACAGUUCAGCAGGCAAUAAGCAGCAGUCAGAGGCUGCAAGGGAAACCUACAGUAGGAGCUUGCUGCAGCUGGAGUCAGGAUGGCGGAGCUGUAAAGAGGACUAAACCAGGGCCCUUUUCAUGCUGUGGAACAGAAUGAAUUUUGUACUCAUGGCAUGCUGCGAUCCUCAGAUCCCUUUCCAGAGACAUGCUGCACUGAGACAUUUUCCAUCCCAUAUACUCCUUUGGGUUACAGUUGUUUUGGAUGAAUGGCAUUCUGUUUCCAGGUCAAUUUAUGCACCUUGAUCUCUAAUGCUCACUUAUGAAGCUUUUCCACCCUUGAUGCCAUUUACUAAACUAAAUUCUGGAACAGAUUUAAAGAAGAUAACAUGAGAUUCAAAGCACACAUUGUAAAGCAGGAAAGUGGUCUCAUUACAAAUAAUUCCAAAUAUUUCCAGCAGAUACUGAUCUAGAAGCCCAAAUAUAGCAAACCAAAAAAUCUUAACUUAGUGUAUUUUAGUUCUGUGGUACAACAGGACCCAAAAGAGCUCAUUUCAACACUUUGCUAAGCUCUUGAUGAUAAGCUGUGGGAAGCAAAGAUGUUCUUCUUUCCAGCAUGAGAAUUCUCACAUGUACACUCUGUGACAAUAAUGGGUUCCCUGUGUGUAAUGUACAAACUUGUUCCUUUUGGGAGAAUGGUCUAUAAAUAUAUGGAAGCAAUAUCCAUACAGAGAUUGAUUUUCUUUAGUUUCCUGGUUAAACUUGCUACGCUCUGCUAUGCUUCUCACUACCUCUUCCAAGAGGAUAAGCUGUAAAUAGAGGAUUUACUUGGAAGAGAAAGAGUGCAAAGUGAAAAAAAUCUUAUGUCUGAGACAUGGAGAAAGAUAUGCUUCCCUUUGAAAUUAGGAUAUGUGAAAGACACACAUCUUGUAGAAUAUCAGAAGAGUAAGGAUGGCCAGCUCUGUUUUUAAUUGAAUUCCAAUUUUCAGUCAUCGGGGAAGAACCUUCAUACUGAUCUUGAUUCUCACUGCAAUAAAACUAUGGUAGCUUUGUAACCCAGGUGAGAGGUUGAGAGCUGAGCUGCAGAUGUUUACUGUUGUCUUGCUAUAUGAAAGAGUCUUUUAAGCUUGUGUAAUAGGACAUCAUUCUUUAAAUGAACAAUGAUAGAUAUCUCAAGAGUGAUGGAUAUGUGUUUAAGCUUCUAGAGAGUCGCUAUCUUCCAUGAGUUUCACGUUCAGUGAUAGUAAUUUAGAUGACCAAAGAAUGACACCUUGACUGGAUGGUCUCUACUGUAAACAAGGAGUUAGGAAAGUUUCCAUAGAGUAAUUCAUAUAAUUAGGAUUGGGUAUUUCUACUGGGGGGCUAAACAUCUUGACACCUGAAGGACUUGGGUUUUUCCUUUGGCAAAGUUUGUCCCUGUGUAACUCACAUGGAAAACAUCCAAAAGAGCUACUCAAAAAUCAUGAGAAGAGCUACAGUACCUCUUCAACAUACAGCAAGUUGCAAUGUACUUUUUUUUUUUUAAACUCCCCAAUUUUACAGCCUCUUAGUGUAAUAUGUGCUACAUCUUUUUUGUCAGACCCUAACAAUUAAACACAAUAAUUUCUUUGAUUGCUUCUUGGAGAUUUAUGAUGGCAUGGGAAUGGCUAGUUGACAGAAUAGAACAGCAGAGUUCUGUGUCCAAGCAUUUGAGAAUCUUUAUUUCUGCUCAAUAUUAAAGUUGUUACCCAUGGUAA